Molecule: long non-coding RNA, 493 nt
Filed under: Mytilus galloprovincialis (Mediterranean mussel)
Lineage: Eukaryota; Metazoa; Mollusca; Bivalvia; Mytilida; Mytilidae
Source: RNAcentral
UAAUACACAAUAUGAAAUAAAAUACUAUUUACAAUAUAUAAAAUUUCUACGUCUUUUUAAAAUCAAAUGACAGGUUUUGGCACACACACGUAUCAUAUUUACAUCUGAGAGUAAAAACACUAACUUUUGAUUAUCAUCUAAAGUAUUAAAAUUAUCAUUAAAAGUUUCAGCAACAUAAUAUAAAUGGUUUCUAAAAUCGUCAUAAAGAGGACAUCUUAAUAAAACAUGCGCUUCAUCUUCAAUAAAAACGUCACAUAUAUGGCACACUCUAUUUUCUAAAACAAUAUUUUCAUAUCUCCCUGUUUCAAUUCUUAGGGGAGCAACACCACAUCUAAAUUUGGCGAAAGCACUUCUGUGACUGAAGGGUAAAGCUAUUUUGCAGUAUUCCUCCGGUUCAAAAUUUUCCUUAAACAGUCUGUAAGUUCGUAGCUUAUUGCCACCUCUGCCCGAUAUAGAUUUAUCUAGAAUGUAAAACAGCAUGCCAAUUAUCGAC